RNAcentral lists this transfer RNA (66 nucleotides) under Marmota monax (woodchuck). RNAcentral describes it as "tRNA.Met". The record is from RNAcentral. Lineage: Eukaryota; Metazoa; Chordata; Mammalia; Rodentia; Sciuridae.
GCUGUAGCUCAGUUGGUAGAGUGCUUGCCUCAUAUGUACAAGGCCCUGGGUUCAAUCCCCACCACA